GACGAACGCUGGCGGCAUGCCUAACACAUGCAAGUCGAGCGAGUUGAUCCCUUCGGGGUGAAGCUAGCGGCGGACGGGUGAGUAACACGUGGGCAACCUGCCUCAUAGAGGGGAAUAGCCUUCCGAAAGGAAGAUUAAUACCGCAUAAGAUUGUAGCUUCGCAUGAAGCAGCAAUUAAAGGAGUAAUCCGCUAUGAGAUGGGCCCGCGGCGCAUUAGCUAGUUGGUGAGGUAACGGCUCACCAAGGCGACGAUGCGUAGCCGACCUGAGAGGGUGAUCGGCCACAUUGGGACUGAGACACGGCCCAGACUCCUACGGGAGGCAGCAGUGGGGAAUAUUGCACAAUGGGGGAAACCCUGAUGCAGCAAUGCCGCGUGAGUGAUGACGGCCUUCGGGUUGUAAAGCUCUGUCUUCGGGGACGAUAAUGACGGUACCCGAGGAGGAAGCCACGGCUAACUACGUGCCAGCCGCCGCCGUAA
This 478-nucleotide ribosomal RNA is filed under the name uncultured bacterium. RNAcentral describes it as "partial 16S ribosomal RNA". It matches the Rfam family "Bacterial small subunit ribosomal RNA", at positions 28 to 523 of the family's 1533-position model. The record is from RNAcentral.